This 555-nucleotide ribosomal RNA is filed under the name Triticum aestivum (bread wheat). Its description in RNAcentral is "partial small subunit ribosomal RNA". The record is from RNAcentral. Lineage: Eukaryota; Viridiplantae; Streptophyta; Magnoliopsida; Poales; Poaceae.
AUCCAGCCACCAUCCCCACGCCCCCACUCCCUCUCCCAUCCAUCCACCCACCAUCGCCGGCGCCGGCCCGCCGCCGCGCCGCCCCCGCUCCGGGAACCGGCCGCCGCUUCCCUCCCAGUCCGCGCCGCCGCUGCCGUUUCCCUCCCCGGACUGCGCCGCCGCUGCCGUCACCCUCCACGGAUCAUGCCACCGCCGCCUCCCUCCCCUGAUCGCACCGCCACCGUCCGCCGCUAGCUACCGCUGCCUGUGCAGUCCUUUGCUAGCUGCCGCUGCAGUCCACCGCUAGCUCUUGCGGGGGAGGCGGUGCUGCUCCGGCUACCCAUGCGUCACUGGCUGCCGCCGCGAACGGCGUCCGGACGCCAUCACGUACUGCCCCCCGGUGCCGCCUCCAGCGCGUACCCGUUACAGCCUUGGGAAAAACCUCCUCCACGUGGGCGACUGGCCGCUCAAACUUCCCCUCGCCGGCCAUCGUGGGCCUCUGUAUCCUGUCAUGGCGGCUCCUCCCCUGUGGCACAAGCAGGUCAACUGCGGCUGGAUGAGACUCGAAAAAUGGUG